RNAcentral lists this ribosomal RNA (1216 nucleotides) under Staphylococcus felis. RNAcentral's name for it is "bacterial SSU rRNA". It matches the Rfam family "Bacterial small subunit ribosomal RNA", at positions 237 to 1444 of the family's 1533-position model. The record is from RNAcentral. Lineage: Bacteria; Bacillati; Bacillota; Bacilli; Caryophanales; Staphylococcaceae.
CGCAUUAGCUAGUUGGUGAGGUAACGGCUCACCAAGGCGACGAUGCGUAGCCGACCUGAGAGGGUGAUCGGCCACACUGGAACUGAGACACGGUCCAGACUCCUACGGGAGGCAGCAGUAGGGAAUCUUCCGCAAUGGACGAAAGUCUGACGGAGCAACGCCGCGUGAGUGAUGAAGGUCUUCGGAUCGUAAAGCUCUGUUGUUAGGGAAGAACAAAUGUGUAAGUAACUGUGCACAUCUUGACGGUACCUAACCAGAAAGCCACGGCUAACUACGUGCCAGCAGCCGCGGUAAUACGUAGGUGGCAAGCGUUAUCCGGAAUUAUUGGGCGUAAAGCGCGCGUAGGCGGUUUUUUAAGUCUGAUGUGAAAGCCCACGGCUCAACCGUGGAGGGUCAUUGGAAACUGGAAAACUUGAGUGCAGAAGAGGAAAGUGGAAUUCCAUGUGUAGCGGUGAAAUGCGCAGAGAUAUGGAGGAACACCAGUGGCGAAGGCGGCUUUCUGGUCUGCAACUGACGCUGAUGUGCGAAAGCGUGGGGAUCAAACAGGAUUAGAUACCCUGGUAGUCCACGCCGUAAACGAUGAGUGCUAAGUGUUAGGGGGUUUCCGCCCCUUAGUGCUGCAGCUAACGCAUUAAGCACUCCGCCUGGGGAGUACGGUCGCAAGACUGAAACUCAAAGGAAUUGACGGGGACCCGCACAAGCGGUGGAGCAUGUGGUUUAAUUCGAAGCAACGCGAAGAACCUUACCAAAUCUUGACAUCCUUUGACCGCUCUAGAGAUAGAGUUUUCCUCUUCGGAGGACAAAGUGACAGGUGGUGCAUGGUUGUCGUCAGCUCGUGUCGUGAGAUGUUGGGUUAAGUCCCGCAACGAGCGCAACCCUUAAGCUUAGUUGCCAUCAUUAAGUUGGGCACUCUAGGCUGACUGCCGGUGACAAACCGGAGGAAGGUGGGGAUGACGUCAAAUCAUCAUGCCCCUUAUGAUUUGGGCUACACACGUGCUACAAUGGACAAUACAAAGGGCAGCGAAACCGCGAGGUCAAGCCAAUCCCAUAAAGUUGUUCUCAGUUCGGAUUGUAGUCUGCAACUCGACUACAUGAAGCUGGAAUCGCUAGUAAUCGUAGAUCAGCAUGCUACGGUGAAUACGUUCCCGGGUCUUGUACACACCGCCCGUCACACCACGAGAGUUUGUAACACCCGAAGCCGGUGGAGUAACCAUUU